AACGAACGCUGGCGGCAGGCCUCAAACAUGCAAGUCUAGGGGGUGUAGCAAUACAUCACCGGCGGACGGGUGCGUAACGCGUGGGAAUAUACCUAUCGAUUCGGAACAACUGAGGGAAACUUCAGCUAAUACCGAAUACGUCCUAACGGAGAAAGAUUUAUCGUCGAUAGAUUAGCCCGCGUUCGAUUAGCUAGUUGGUGGGGUAACGCCCACCAAGGCGACGAUCGAUAGCUGUUCUGAGAGGAAGAUCAGCCACACUGGGACUGAGACACGGCCCAGACUCCUACGGGAGGCAGCAGCUGGGAAUCUUGGACAAUGGGGGAAACCCUGAUCCAGCCAUGCCGCGUGAGUGAUGAAGGCCUUCGGGUUGUAAACGUACUUUGUCUAGGGAAGAAACGGUAGAGUCCUAAUAUAGGCUUGCUAAUGACGGUACCUGAAGAAUAAGACACCGGCUAACUACGUGCCAGCAGCCGCGGUAAU
This 480-nucleotide ribosomal RNA is filed under the name uncultured bacterium. RNAcentral describes it as "bacterial SSU rRNA". It matches the Rfam family "Bacterial small subunit ribosomal RNA", at positions 29 to 524 of the family's 1533-position model. The record is from RNAcentral.